GGCAGGAGUAAUGAGCGGGAUCAUGCACGCCCCUCUAACGGGUGUCUUCCUCAUUGCCGAAUUGACGGGAGGGUACGACCUCUUUCUGCCGCUA
RNAcentral lists this transfer RNA (94 nucleotides) under termite gut metagenome. Its description in RNAcentral is "tRNA-Pyl". The record is from RNAcentral.